Molecule: long non-coding RNA, 3012 nt
Organism: Peromyscus leucopus (white-footed mouse)
Lineage: Eukaryota; Metazoa; Chordata; Mammalia; Rodentia; Cricetidae
Exons: 3
Source: RefSeq, a predicted model, not a curated record
AGCGGCUCCUCUGUCCUCCACACCACCACCUCCUCCUCCUCGGAAUCGCCUGUGGGAGGGAAGCUGCGGAGCCUUGCGUGCAAGCGCUGCCAUAACCCAAGGCUUAACAUAAACUUCGGGCUCUCAGGUCAUUGGGAAAGAACAGGUAUAUCCGGUUAGGUCUUUUGUGCUUCUCUGCACGCAAAUUCAACAGCGCAAGCGCGCACGCGUGCAAAGCUGAACUCCUUGGAGCCUCUGGUUCCGGAGAAGGGAGGAUGCCUUGGAAUGGAAUUCGCGCAGUUUCCCCUUUUUUUUUUGUUUUUUUCACGGAGUGGGGGCGAUAGAGCUUGUGGACGGGGGACAUUCCUGCACCUCCGAGAGGCUGAGGAGACAUGUGUGCGGUCUGGUCCUCCACGGGUGACGUUCCCACGGUCAGCAAUUUCCCCACUUAGCGUGGUUGAGCAGCAAGCGAGUUCUUGGAACCUGGUAGAUCCGGAGCCAAAUUCCAGGGCUGGAAGAGAAGAAAGCAGAUGAACCUUCUAGAAAGCACCACAGUACUGCUCCCUUGGUGUCCAUCCCCAGGAAGGCCCACAGCACACCCUUGAAUUUUCACCCAGCCUGGCUUCCCCAUCUCUGCUGCCAGGGAUUGGUGAGUAUUCUCCUGGAGUCUUGUUUCACCCCUAGGGCUGCAAAACACACCCAUAAAAGCCAAAGCCUGGACAAGAGCCUCAGAAGGAGGGAGCCAGCAUGGCCCCUCCAGGAGUUUUUGGGGGAGCACACAGCCUUUGCAAGUUAGCAUUCUGCCUAGGCAAGCCUGGGUAAGGUAAAAUGGGGUGAGGAAGAAGUGCCGCAGAGCCACCAGCUGGAGUUGGAGGAAAUCACAGGUUGGCCACUGCCCCUUAGCCUGUCUGCCAAGAGUAGAGGGCUGGGUGAGAGAGCCUUUUAAAGGCAGCAGCAAAUGGCCUCCCACAGAACAGCCAGAACUGGUGCCGCCUGAGUGGCCGCCAUGGUACGGGCACCAGUCUACAAGCUUGGCGUGUGCUCGCUCAUUAGUCCUCACACAGCUCCUGGAACUAGUUCCUGUUGUCACUGCCAUUUUAUGGACGUCUAAACUGGGCCUGGAGGAAUGAAAUGAGAAAGCAAAGAAGCCUCUCAGCGCUACACGAAAGAGCGGCAUUCAGACCCUGGCAGUCUGGCUGGCACUCAGCGCAUUAUCUAAGAAAGAUACGCAGAAGCUCAGGGUUCUGGCUCUGGGCUGGCAGGGGCUGGCAGGAGCCGGCAGGGGCUGGCAGGAGCCGGCAGGGGGUGAGGGGUUGCUGUCCUAGUAGUUGUCACACAGAGCUGACAGACUAGGUGCUCAUUCCUGUGACGGAGACCCAAGCACUCCUUCAAGACCAAGAUUUGCAGCUCAAAAAUAAACUCAGUCAGAGUAAACAUAAUACUGAUACCACUACCGGUUGAUUUUUGAGGGUUCAUUUUGCCAUGAACUAUACUAAUUGAUUUUCUCAUUUACUCCCAUGACCAUGGGGAUACUAUGUUUUUGUUUGUUUGUUUGUUUGUUUUUUAAACUGAGCAAACUCAGGCUCAGGAAUGUCUAAUGGACCUUAAGUUACUGUUUAUAUAAAUAAGAGAAUCCAGACUUAGACCCACGGGUGCCAAGCUCCUGAUGACCGGUGUGUGGGACACAUGGCUUUUAGUCUCCUGUAAAGGACUGGAUGAGCUUGGAAGGCAUCUGGGCCUGAGCUGGUGGUGGAGGGAGGGGGAAUGUGAAGAACUGUUAUCAUUUCAGAGCAGGUCUGGGUGUGGGAUGCUGCUGUUUCUCUCCCCAGACUCUGUGAAGCCUCCUUUGGGAUGAGGAGAUUUGGAAUCCCCCCUUCUAAUGUUUCCAUGUCUUUAACCUGGGGUUCCCCUCAUUUGUCAGGAAGAACAGAUGUUCUGAGUACGCGCGCACACAGGUCCUUUAAAAUCAAGACUAGUUUGGAAGACAGGUGAUAUUUUUAACUUUGUGUUCCCCAUUUGCGAAGCUAAGUUAAAGUAACAGUGUCCUUUCUGUAAGAAGAGCAGCAGGUGCUAUGACCACGUGCUACCUGGUACAAAAAUCAAGGCUCCGUGGGGGAUACAAACUAGCAAGCCCUUUCAAGUGGCAAGGGGGUGAAAUUAUCCUAUAUGUCUGGGUAGACUCCAACACUUACAGAUACCUGCAGAAGUAGAAGCAAAAGCCAGAUCACUGAUGCGGAGUCAAUGAUAUUAGAGUCAAGGACAGCACAAAUGAUCACCCAAGUCAUUACUUGCGGCUAAAUAAAUUAUGUCAAAAACAUUCUCCAGAAUCAUCCAAAAGCAGCAGAUCUGCAUCUUCCUUCGAGGCCAACAUUGUUGGGCUGGAAAAGAUCACCAAAGAGUAAUAAUUCGAGUAAGAUCUCGUUCAUAUCAAAUAUAUGCACAUAAGUAGGGUUUCUCCAUCUGGGGUCUGAGAUGGAAUGGGAGUGCAUCUUUCCAGUUUUUCUGUGUGUCAUCUAUUGGUUGACUUUUGCAGAGCAAGAGUCUAUUUAUGUACUGUGCAUGCAUGUUUUAAGAAUGUAUUUCUGGGGUUGGAGGGACUGCUCACAACCAACUGUAUCUCCAGUUCCCGGUGAUCCAAUGCCCUCUUUUGACACACAUGCAUAUAUACAUAAUUUAAAAGCUCUAUCUGGUAUAUUUGGUCAAAACAGAAAAUAAUAAAAUGUGCAUAAUACUGUGAUCAUAGAAUAAUGUAAGUGUAGAAUACAGUACAAACCAUGGCCCAAAGAUCAUUGUCUUGAAGAAAUCAAGAGAGGGCCACAGUUACCUGGCCACAGACAGGCUCUUCAUACGCUUUUACUGUCCUGAUCUAGUGUUCUUUCUUCAAGGUUAACAAAAGUAUAAACAUGGUUUUUCUAGACAUAGUAACAAACUUGCUUCUAAAUAGCUGUCUCAAUAACCAUGGCUCAAGGGGCUGGAGAGAUGGCUCAGUGUUUAAGGGCACUGGCUGCCCUCCCAGAGGACCCAAGUUCAAUU